UUCUGCUCUGAUACCAUAUUAAAAAUCAUUGGAUGAAAAACAGUUUAUUAAACUCCAUUAAGGAGAAAGACAAACUCCAUAAAAGGAGAAUAUAAAGGCACUCCAUGAAGGAGGAAUCACUCCAUGAAAGGAGGAGAAGAAAACUCCAUAAAAAGUGAAAAUGAAACACUCCAUUAAAGGAGGAAUAGAAACUCCAUAGAAGGAGAAAAUGAAACCUCCAUAGGAGGGAUUGGAAAUCCACAUUCCAAUAGACUAAAAAUGUAUACAUGGUGCUGUAUUUAUAGAGCAAAAUGGCUAAACUAAUUAGCUAAUUAACAAACUAAUCACUAACUAACUAACAACUAAGACAGCUGGACACAACCAUUUGGACUCUGAUACGUUGAGAUGGAAGUCUCUAGAAUCUGGAGCACGAAUCUGCUGAUGUUUGGUGCACGUGUAUUCCAACAGCAAUUUUCCCUUGAUUUCAUUCUAUUUUAGUUGUAUGUGAAAUUCUAGUUUUGAUCUUGCAAGUAUAUGGAACUGCCGGCUGCGAAAUUCCCGGCGAUCCGUGGUCGAAACCCUCAAUACAUAUCUCCGAUACCUGGACACAAAUUGUGCCAAAUUGCAACAUGCAAAACCAAUUACCUAUGGAUAAAUGUCCGGUACCGACAGCUAAGCAGUCACCGUAAAAUCUCUGUCUCUGCUAAUUUGCCCAAAGCAUUUGAUUCGGAAAAUCGUAAGAAGAAUGGCUGGAUUCACUUUAUCGGUGUGGGAGGCUGUGGAAUUUCUGCUCUUGCCAUGCUUGCCCUCAGACAAGGAUACGAGGUUAGUGGUUCGGAUAUUGUGUGAAGCAGCUACAUGGAUGCACUAAAAGAAGCUGGCUCUCAUUUUUAUAUUGGCCAUUCUGAAUUGAGUUUACGAAAGUGUAAUUUUUCGAGUUCUCCUGAUGCAAUUGUCGUUUCGAGUGCAAUUCCAACUGACAAUGUGGAGAUUCUAUAUGCCAUGUCUGUUGGAAUACCAGUGUAUAAACGAGGUACAUGGUUGGGAAAGCUAACAGAGGACUACAAUCUGAUUGCUGUCAGUGGAAGCCACGGUAAUAUUAUGAUUGAAGAAUUUUAGACAUGGUAAUUGAUCAGUAUACAUUAGUUUGAUUUGUAUAGGCCCAUGAACACAUUUUUGAUUUGCAAAAUUGCGUUUGUGUGCAAGAUGUUUGAUGAGGGAUAUCUCACGAUAAAAAGUUGUUCGGGAGGAUGCUGUUCAAUAAAAAGGAAAGUAUAGCUGUAUAUGAUUGUAUGUGUUUAUGUAAAUUCAACGAACGAACCUAACCAUUUUGUAGGAUGUAUUAAUUACGCAAGAUCACAUGAAAUAGUAUGUAUUUGUUUGCUAUGAAAUAAUUUAUUCUGUGUCUCCGACUGUGAGACUGAAUUGAGUUUA
This is a long non-coding RNA of Olea europaea var. sylvestris, 1413 nucleotides long. RefSeq lists it as uncharacterized. The record is from RefSeq and is a predicted model, not a curated record. Lineage: Eukaryota; Viridiplantae; Streptophyta; Magnoliopsida; Lamiales; Oleaceae. The transcript is spliced from 3 exons.